RNAcentral lists this ribosomal RNA (253 nucleotides) under uncultured bacterium. Its description in RNAcentral is "partial 16S ribosomal RNA". It matches the Rfam family "Bacterial small subunit ribosomal RNA", at positions 524 to 776 of the family's 1533-position model. The record is from RNAcentral.
UACGGGGGGGGCAAGCGUUGUUCGGAUUUACUGGGCAUAAAGCGCGCGUAGGCGGCCCUGUAAGUCCGUUGUGAAAGUCGAAGGCUCAACCUUCGAAAGCCGAUGGAUACUGCGGGGCUAGAGUCCGGAAGAGGCGAGUGGAAUUCCUGGUGUAGCGGUGGAAUGCGCAGAUAUCAGGAGGAACACCAAUAGCGAAGGCAGCUCGCUGGGACGGUACUGACGCUAAGGCGCGAAAGCGUGGGGAGCGAACAGG